AGUUUGAUCCUGGCUCAGAUUGAACGCUGGCGGCAGGCCUAACACAUGCAAGUCGAGCGGUAGAGAGAAGCUUGCUUCUCUUGAGAGCGGCGGACGGGUGAGUAAUGCCUAGGAAUCUGCCUGGUAGUGGGGGAUAACGUUCGGAAACGGACGCUAAUACCGCAUACGUCCUACGGGAGAAAGCAGGGGACCUUCGGGCCUUGCGCUAUCAGAUGAGCCUAGGUCGGAUUAGCUAGUUGGUGAGGUAAUGGCUCACCAAGGCGACGAUCCGUAACUGGUCUGAGAGGAUGAUCAGUCACACUGGAACUGAGACACGGUCCAGACUCCUACGGGAGGCAGCAGUGGGGAAUAUUGGACAAUGGGCGAAAGCCUGAUCCAGCCAUGCCGCGUGUGUGAAGAAGGUCUUCGGAUUGUAAAGCACUUUAAGUUGGGAGGAAGGGCAUUAACCUAAUACGUUAGUGUUUUGACGUUACCGACAGAAUAAGCACCGGCUAACUCUGUGC
Molecule: ribosomal RNA, 503 nt
Filed under: uncultured bacterium
Lineage: Bacteria
Description: bacterial SSU rRNA
Rfam family: Bacterial small subunit ribosomal RNA
Source: RNAcentral